Molecule: small RNA, 532 nt
Filed under: Pan troglodytes (chimpanzee)
Lineage: Eukaryota; Metazoa; Chordata; Mammalia; Primates; Hominidae
Description: processed transcript
Source: RNAcentral
AUAUUUGGGUUCUUGGUCUGGACCAUGGUAGCCGCCACCCACAUAGUAUACCCCUUGCUGCAAGGAUGGGUGAUGUAUGUCUCGCUCACCUCAUUUCUCAUCUCCUUGAUGUUCCUGUUGUCUUACUUGUUUGGAUUUUACAAAAGAUUUGAAUCCUGGAGAGUUCUGGACAGCCUGUACCACGGGACCACUGGCAUCCUGUACAUGAGCGCUGCCGUCCUACAAGUACAUGCCACGAUUGUUUCUGAGAAACUGCUGGACCCAAGAAUUUACUACAUUAAUUCGGCAGCCUCGUUCUUCGCCUUCAUCGCCACUCUGCUCUACAUUCUCCAUGCCUUCAGCAUCUAUUACCACUGAUGCACAGGCGCCAGGCCAAGGGGGAAAUGCUCUUUGAAACCUCCAAUUAUUGGUCCCCAAAAGCAGCUUCCAACGUUUGCCAUCUGGAUGACAAACGGAAGAUCCACUAAAACGUCCACGGGAUUAACAGAACGUCCUUGCAGACCGAGCGAUGACACCACACUUUGUUUGGACA